AUAGGUUAAUGAGGCGAACCGGGGGAACUGAAACAUCUAAGUACCCCGAGGAAAAGAAAUCAACCGAGAUUCCCCCAGUAGCGGCGAGCGAACGGGGAGGAGCCCAGAGCCUGAAUCAGUGUGUGUGUUAGUGGAAGCGUCUGGAAAGGCGCGCGAUACAGGGUGACAGCCCCGUACACAAAAAUGCACAUAUUGUGAGCUCGAUGAGUAGGGCGGGACACGUGGUAUCCUGUCUGAAUAUGGGGGGACCAUCCUCCAAGGCUAAAUACUCCUGACUGACCGAUAGUGAACCAGUACCGUGAGGGAAAGGCGAAAAGAACCCCGGCGAGGGGAGUGAAAAAGAACCUGAAACCGUGUACGUACAAGCAGUGGGAGCCUCUUAAUGGGGUGACUGCGUACCUUUUGUAUAAUGGGUCAGCGACUUAUAUUCUGUAGCAAGGUUAACCGAAUAGGGGAGCCGAAGGGAAACCGAGUCUUAACUGGGCGUUAAGUUGCAGGGUAUAGACCCGAAACCCGGUGAUCUAGCCAUGGGCAGGUUGAAGGUUGGGUAACACUAACUGGAGGACCGAACCGACUAAUGUUGAAAAAUUAGCGGAUGACUUGUGGCUGGGGGUGAAAGGCCAAUCAAACCGGGAGAUAGCUGGUUCUCCCCGAAAGCUAUUUAGGUAGCGCCUCGUGAAUUCAUCUCCGGGGGUAGAGCACUGUUUCGGCAAGGGGGUCAUCCCGACUUACCAACCCGAUGCAAACUGCGAAUACCGGAGAAUGUUAUCACGGGAGACACACGGCGGGUGCUAACGUCCGUCGUGAAGAGGGAAACAACCCAGACCGCCAGCUAAGGUCCCAAAGUCAUGGUUAAGUGGGAAACGAUGUGGGAAGGCCCAGACAGCCAGGAUGUUGGCUUAGAAGCAGCCAUCAUUUAAAGAAAGCGUAAUAGCUCACUGGUCGAGUCGGCCUGCGCGGAAGAUGUAACGGGGCUAAACCAUGCACCGAAGCUGCGGCAGCGACGCUUAUGCGUUGUUGGGUAGGGGAGCGUUCUGUAAGCCUGUGAAGGUGUGCUGUGAGGC
This 1064-nucleotide ribosomal RNA is filed under the name Escherichia coli. Its description in RNAcentral is "partial 23S ribosomal RNA". It matches the Rfam family "Bacterial large subunit ribosomal RNA", at positions 166 to 1269 of the family's 2925-position model. Lineage: Bacteria; Pseudomonadati; Pseudomonadota; Gammaproteobacteria; Enterobacterales; Enterobacteriaceae. The record is from RNAcentral.